CGGUUGAUCCUGCCGGAGGUUACUGCUAUCGGUGUUCGCCUAAGCCAUGCGAGUCAUAUGUUCUUCGUGAACAUGGCGUACUGCUCAGUAACACGUGGAUAACCUGCCCUUGGGACCGGCAUAACCCCGGGAAACUGGGGAUAAUUCCGGAUACCGCAUAUAUGCUGGAAUGCUUUAUGCGUAAAAUGGAUUCGUCUGCCCAAGGAUGGGUCUGCGGCCUAUCAGGUAGUAGUGGGUGUAAUGUACCUACUAGCCAACGACGGGUACGGGUUGUGAGAGCAAGAGCCCGGAGAUGGAUUCUGAGACAUGAAUCCAGGCCCUACGGGGCGCAGCAGGCGCGAAAACUUUACAAUGCGGGAAACCGUGAUAAGGGGACACCGAGUGCCAGCAACAUUUGUUGGCUGUCCAGGUGUGUAAACUACACCUGUUAGCAAGGGCCGGGCAAGACCGGUGCCAGCCGCCGCGGUGACACCGGCGGCCCGAGUGGUGAUCGUGAUUAUUGGGUCUAAAGGGUCCGUAGCCGGUUUGGUCAGUCCUCCGGGAAAUCUGACGGCUUAACCGUUAGGCUUUCGGGGGAUACUGCCAGGCUUGGAACCGGGAGAGGUAAGAGGUACUACAGGGGUAGGAGUGAAAUCUUGUAAUCCCUGUGGGACCACCUGUGGCGAAGGCGUCUUACCAGAACGGGUUCGACGGUGAGGGACGAAAGCUGGGGGCACGAACCGGAUUAGAUACCCGGGUAGUCCCAGCCGUAAACGAUGCUCGCUAGGUGUCAGGCAUGGCGCGACCGUGUCUGGUGCCGCAGGGAAGCCGUGAAGCGAGCCACCUGGGAAGUACGGCCGCAAGGCUGAAACUUAAAGGAAUUGGCGGGGGAGCAC
This 875-nucleotide ribosomal RNA is filed under the name uncultured archaeon. RNAcentral describes it as "bacterial SSU rRNA". It matches the Rfam family "Archaeal small subunit ribosomal RNA", at positions 5 to 879 of the family's 1478-position model. The record is from RNAcentral.